Molecule: long non-coding RNA, 1653 nt
Organism: Vicia villosa (hairy vetch)
Lineage: Eukaryota; Viridiplantae; Streptophyta; Magnoliopsida; Fabales; Fabaceae
Exons: 3
Source: RefSeq, a predicted model, not a curated record
GCAGCGCCUCUUGCAUCUCUCUUUCCCCUUUUUUUUUCUGAAAAACUCUUCAUCUUUCUCACGUUGAGCAACAACAACUAUGGCCUCUCUCAGUGAAACCAAGUCUACUGCAAGAACGUGGCUCUCUCUCUUGGAACAAAACAACAACAGCGAAAGCCUCUCUUUGCUCUUCUCACGCUCUCUCGGAUUCUCACCGUGAGAAACAAUGGCGAACUCAAACUUUCCCUCGGUUUUGUGACGAACAACAAAAACAAACGAAAACCUCUCUUGACCUUGACUCACAGCGGCCAUGGAAGAGAAAUCAGAAGCAAAAUUCUAGGCUUGUGUCUUUAAUUUCGUUUUCAAUUUUGUUUAACAGUAUAACAACAAGUGUUUAUGCAUUUUUUUAUUUUCGGUUUCCAGAUGAACACUAUAUUUGCAGAUAUGAUUUAAGCAGUAAUAUUGAGAUUGAGAGUGGAAACGACUUACUUGAGGCAAGGAGGAUUUUGCCGGAUUUAUGUUGAGGUAUGUAUCUUAUUCUGCUUUUGGAAACCGAAUUUGUUGUUGUUGAUGUUAUUCUGAGUUGUUGGAUUGAUGUUGCUGAACUGCUUCUGAAUUGUUCGCGAGUUGCUGCUGCGGAUGAUUGAUUCUGCACCGCGAGUUGUUGUUGACACAACUGUUGUCGCUGCUGAAUUUUGGAAUGGUUGUUGCUGUGAUGCUGAGUCGUGAUUUUGCAGCGUCGGUGUUUCGAUUGCAGGAACGAUUGGAAGCUCGAAGACUGUUGAAUUUUUUUUUUGAGAGUUUGUUGUGAUGAAGAUGAACAAGCUGCUUUUUGAUGAAGGUGAUGCCACAACACCUCUCUUUUUGGAUUUAUGGGAUACUUGAAGUUCAACUUCAAGUGGUUGGAAGCUUGAAGAUGAAGAUCUUCAAGUAAGGUAUGAAGAACUACCUUUUCCUCCUUCCUUACUUUGGAACUAAGAAACUUUACAAUUAUGAGAGAAGUGAGAAAGCAAGUAGUUAAGGUUGCUUUGGUGUCUUUUGCUUCAAAGAGAUCAUUUCCUAUUUAUAGGCAAAGCUUAGGAUGUGUUAGGAAUUAGGAAACUUGAUUGGAAUGUUAUGGUCAUUGCAAGAAUAGGAAUAUAUUCUUCAUCAUUGCAAGAAUAAGAAUAAGAAUAUAUUCUUCAUCAUUGCAAGAAUAAGAAUAAGAAUAAGAAUAUAUUCCUUAUGUCAUUAUGCAAAGAUAUUCUCAUGAUAUAAGCCAUGUGUGUAAAUUUUUAUGUCAUUUUAUGAUAUCUCUAAGUUGCAUAAUUUUAUGACAUAAAAAUCUCUCUUUGACAUUCUUUGACUUUUGCUAAUUUCACCCCUCUUUUUGUUUCUUUUUUCAUGUUGCAUGAGGACCUUUGAAGAAAGAAUGAAGAAAUUUGAACUUGAAGAAUGAAGACUUUGAAGAAUGAAGAAUUCAAGAAAGUCUUUGAAGUUUUUUUCUUUUUUCUUGUAAUUCAUUCCAACUUGAAAAAUGUAUGAACUUUGUAUUCUUGAAAUGAUGUAAUUCUUGAACUUUAGAUAAAGUUCCUUUUGUAAUCCAUGUGUAACUUAGAACUUGUUUUAUGUAAAAGAAUUCCAUUUGGAAAUAUUCUUUUAGAAUCUUGAAUGAAAUUGUAUGGAACUUGAAUA